This 462-nucleotide ribosomal RNA is filed under the name uncultured bacterium. Its description in RNAcentral is "partial 16S ribosomal RNA". It matches the Rfam family "Bacterial small subunit ribosomal RNA", at positions 28 to 507 of the family's 1533-position model. The record is from RNAcentral.
GACGAACGCUGGCGGCGUGCUUAACACAUGCAAGUCGAGCGGAAAGGCCCUUCGCUUGCUAUGCGCGUGUAAGGGGCGAGCGAGAGGUUGACGCGCGGAUCUCCACCUUGUGAUACGGAUAGGACACUGGGACUAAGACUGUAAAUGACUACCAAUUUCUGGGCCGGGGGGGGCAAGAUUGAGCGGUGGAGGUUGGGUCCGUGGUCUAUCGGCUUGUGGGUGGUGUACUGGUUUACCAAGGCGAGGACGGGUAGGCGACCUGAGAGGGUGAGCGGCCACACUGGGACUGAGAGACGGCCCAGACUCCUACGGGAGGCAGCAGUGGGGAAUAUUGCACAAUGGGCGCAAGCCUGAUGCAGCGACGCCGCGUGCGGGAUGACGGCCUUCGGGUUGUAAACCUCUUUCGGCGGAGACGAAGCGAAAGUGACGGUACCUGAUGAAGAAGCACCGGCUAACUACGUG